AGAGUUUGAUCCUGGCUCAGGACGAACGCUGGCGGCGUGCUUAACACAUGCAAGUCGUGCGGAGAUUGGCCGGAAGUUUACUUUUGGUCAAUCUUAGCGGCGGACGGGUGAGUAACACGUGAACAACCUACCCUAAUGACCGGGAUAACACCGGGAAACUGGUGCUAAUACCGGAUACGCUCUGAAGGUGGCAUUACCUUCAGAGGAAAGUCGGCCUCUAUUUAUAAGCUGGCACGUUAGGAUGGGUUCGCGCCCCAUUAGCUUGUUGGUAGGGUAACGGCCUACCAAGGCUUCGAUGGGUAGCCGGCCUGAGAGGGUGGCCGGCCACACUGGGACUGAGAUACGGCCCAGACUCCUACGGGAGGCAGCAGUGGGGAAUCUUCCGCAAUGGGCGCAAGCCUGACGGAGCGACGCCGCGUGGGGGACGAAGGCCUUCGGGUUGUAAACCUCUUUUCUGAAGGGAGAACGUUCUAUCUGUAAAUAGCGGAUAGAGUUGACGGUACUUCAGGAAUAAGCCCCGGCUAACUACGUGCCAGCAGCCGCGGUAAUACGUAGGGGGCGAGCGUUGUCCGGAAUCACUGGGCGUAAAGGGCGUGUAGGCGGCUAGAGUAGUCGCAGGUGAAAUCCCACAGCUCAACCGUGGAACUGCCUGCGAAACCAUUUAGCUUGAGGACAGGAGAGGAAAGCGGAAUUCCUGGUGUAGCGGUGAAAUGCGUAGAUAUCAGGAGGAACCACCAGUGGCGAAGGCGGCUUUCUGGCCUGGUCCUGACGCUGAGGCGCGAAAGCUAGGGGAGCGAACAGGAUUAGAUACCCUGGUAGUCCUAGCUGUAAACGAUGGGUACUAGGUGUUGGUGGGCUCAUACCCAUCAGUGCCGCAGUUAACACAAUAAGUACCCCGCCUGGGGAGUACGGUCGCAAGACUGAAACUCAAAUGAAUUGACAGAAUCG
This 948-nucleotide ribosomal RNA is filed under the name uncultured bacterium. Its description in RNAcentral is "bacterial SSU rRNA". It matches the Rfam family "Bacterial small subunit ribosomal RNA", at positions 8 to 921 of the family's 1533-position model. The record is from RNAcentral.